Molecule: signal recognition particle RNA, 280 nt
Filed under: Cebus imitator (Panamanian white-faced capuchin)
Lineage: Eukaryota; Metazoa; Chordata; Mammalia; Primates; Cebidae
Description: Metazoan signal recognition particle RNA (ENSCCAG00000014773.1)
Rfam family: Metazoan signal recognition particle RNA
About the family: The signal recognition particle (SRP) is a universally conserved ribonucleoprotein. It is involved in the co-translational targeting of proteins to membranes.
Source: RNAcentral
ACUGGGCUUGGAGGUAUGUGCUUGUAGCCCUAGCUGCUUGAAAGGGUGAGGAGGGAGGAUUGCUUGAGCCCAGGAGCUCUGAGCUGUAGUGAGCUAUGCCAAUUGGCAUCAAUAUGGUGACCUCCCUGGCACAGGGGACCACCAGGUUGCCUGAGGAGGGGUGAACCAGCUCAGGUUGGAAAUGGAGCAGGUCAAAAUUCCCAUGAUGAUCAGUAGUGAGAUCAUGCCUGUGAAUAGCCAUUACACUUCAGCCUGGGCAACAUAGCAAGAAUCUCUCUCU